UACGUAGGGUGCAAGCGUUUAAUCGGAAUUACUGGGCGUAAAGCGUGCGCAGGCGGCUUUGCAAGACAGAUGUGAAAUCCCCCAGGCUUAACCUGGGAACUGCGUGUGAUACUGGAUGGCUUGAAUUCGGGGAGAGGGAUGCAGAAUUCCAGGUGUAGCGGUGAAAUGCGUAGAUAUCUGGAGGAAUACCGGUGGCGAAGGCGGCAUCCGUGGACCGAGAUUGACGCUGAACGGCGA
This 237-nucleotide ribosomal RNA is filed under the name uncultured bacterium. RNAcentral's name for it is "partial 16S ribosomal RNA". It matches the Rfam family "Bacterial small subunit ribosomal RNA", at positions 524 to 756 of the family's 1533-position model. The record is from RNAcentral.